UAGGGAAUAUUGGACAAUGGGGGCAACCCUGAUCCAGCCAUGCCGCGUGAGUGAAGAAGGCCCUCGGGUUGUAAAGCUCUUUUGUCCGGAAAGAAAAGCAUUCGGUGAAUACCCGGAUGUUCUGACGGUACCGGAAGAAUAAGCACCGGCUAACUUCGUGCCAGCAGCCGCGGUAAUACGAAGGGUGCAAGCGUUACUCGGAAUUACUGGGCGUAAAGCGUGCGUAGGUGGUUGUUUAAGUCUGAUGUGAAAGCCCUGGGCUCAACCUGGGAAUGGCAUUGGAAAAUGGGCAGCUAGAGUGCGGUAGAGGGUAGUGGAAUUCCCGGUGUAGCAGUGAAAUGCGUAGAGAUCGGGAGGAACAUCUGUGGCGAAGGCGACUGCCUGGACCAGCACUGACACUGAGGCACGAAAGCGUGGGGAGCAAACA
This 427-nucleotide ribosomal RNA is filed under the name uncultured bacterium. RNAcentral's name for it is "bacterial SSU rRNA". It matches the Rfam family "Bacterial small subunit ribosomal RNA", at positions 355 to 774 of the family's 1533-position model. The record is from RNAcentral.